Molecule: ribosomal RNA, 253 nt
Filed under: uncultured bacterium
Lineage: Bacteria
Description: partial 16S ribosomal RNA
Rfam family: Bacterial small subunit ribosomal RNA
Source: RNAcentral
UACAGAGGGGGCAAGCGUUGUCCGGACUGACUGGGCGUAAAGCGCGCGCAGGCGGUCACGGGCGUCGGUGCUGAAAGUGCGCCGCUUAACGGCGCAAUGCGUGCCGAUACGCCGUGACUGGAGCGCGGGCGAGGGUGGUGGAAUUGCCGGUGUAGUGGUGAAAUGCGUAGAUAUCGGCAGGAACACCUGUGGCGAAGGCGGCCACCUAGCCCGCUGCUGACGCUGAAGCGCGACAGCGUGGGGAGCGAACUGG